This 503-nucleotide ribosomal RNA is filed under the name Planococcus citreus. RNAcentral describes it as "bacterial SSU rRNA". It matches the Rfam family "Bacterial small subunit ribosomal RNA", at positions 380 to 875 of the family's 1533-position model. The record is from RNAcentral. Lineage: Bacteria; Bacillati; Bacillota; Bacilli; Caryophanales; Caryophanaceae.
AGUCUGACGGAGCAACGCCGCGUGAGUGAAGAAGGUUUUCGGAUCGUAAAACUCUGUUGUGAGGGAAGAACAAGUACCAACUAACUACUGGUACCUUGACGGUACCUCACCAGAAAGCCACGGCUAACUACGUGCCAGCAGCCGCGGUAAUACGUAGGUGGCAAGCGUUGUCCGGAAUUAUUGGGCGUAAAGCGCGCGCAGGCGGUCCUUUAAGUCUGAUGUGAAAGCCCACGGCUCAACCGUGGAGGGUCAUUGGAAACUGGGGGACUUGAGUGCAGAAGAGGAAAGUGGAAUUCCACGUGUAGCGGUGAAAUGCGUAGAGAUGUGGAGGAACACCAGUGGCGAAGGCGACUUUCUGGUCUGUAACUGACGCUGAGGCGCGAAAGCGUGGGGAGCAAACAGGAUUAGAUACCCUGGUAGUCCACGCCGUAAACGAUGAGUGCUAAGUGUUAGGGGGUUUCCGCCCCUUAGUGCUGCAGCUAACGCAUUAAGCACUCCGCCUG